GCUUAACACUUGAUCUGUGAACUUCAGGUAAGUUCAAGUGUUGACCGGUUUAUUGAUUGAUGCU
This 64-nucleotide small nucleolar RNA is filed under the name Morus notabilis. Its description in RNAcentral is "Small nucleolar RNA snoR101". It matches the Rfam family "Small nucleolar RNA snoR101". The record is from Rfam by way of RNAcentral. Lineage: Eukaryota; Viridiplantae; Streptophyta; Magnoliopsida; Rosales; Moraceae.